AGGGCAGGGAGUGGGAAAGUGAAAAGCUACUAAAAUCCAGUCCUGGCCUCUCUUCCCUCCAGCGUAAAAGCCUCCCUGGGGUGCUUGGGCAAUACAACAGGCUCCGACUAGACCAUCCAUUGUCCCACAGCCCUUUUGAUCUUUUCCCCCCUCAGAGGCCAAGGCACCGUGAGCUACCUUGCAAUUAUUUCCCAAGUACUUUAACUGUGUUCCUUGGAUCCUCUCUAAAACACAAGAUCCCUAAAGGCAGCGACACACUUCACACCCCCAAGGAGCACAGGCGAUGUCGGGGUGAUUCCAGGCUGCUCUGUACUUUCUUGCUGAAUGAGUGGACGGGCUAGAGAAGAAACGGCAGAAGAGAAAGACAACCAGGUGCCCUGUCACUGCCUAUCACUGCCUGCCCUGCAGACUUCCAGCCCUUAGGAAGCUCACUCCUGAAACAAGUCCCUACAAGGUCAGUGAUUCACGCAGAUGCCCCUGAAAUCACUUCCUGGGCUCCACUGUCAUCAGACACAACAGGAGGUUGCUCACGGAGAAGUGUGAAAAGUGCCUGGAGACCUUGCUACUUGUUUCUCUGCAGAGGAGGACUCCAGACACUUAUUCUCCUAGCAUCCCACAGAUGCUGCUUGUCAGAGAUGAAGGCAGGACACAGGCAUUUGGUUGCAGCUCUUAAGGUUGUGCUCCCUUGCACCCGUGACUCUCUUUUCCCAAACCUGACACCUACUCACGGCCCAGAUGGAAAGAUGAGGCUCUGAGAUAAGUAAUGUAGCUCUCAAUCUAGGUGUUCCUCCCUCACAGCCAAAAAGAGAGAAUUUAGUCCAUCUCAAGUCUAUCCUAGCUCUCUGCUUUUGAGUGCAAGUUGCCUGCCUGUUACCUUCUUUUCCACUAUAAACUCAGUCUUGUGAGAUAAGGGAAGGGACCUCACCUCUCCUGGCUGGGAACUUGCUGUUCCCAUCUUACCAGAAG
Long non-coding RNA from Heterocephalus glaber (naked mole-rat), 966 nucleotides. Lineage: Eukaryota; Metazoa; Chordata; Mammalia; Rodentia; Bathyergidae. The record is from Ensembl.